Molecule: long non-coding RNA, 867 nt
Organism: Pygocentrus nattereri (red-bellied piranha)
Lineage: Eukaryota; Metazoa; Chordata; Actinopteri; Characiformes; Serrasalmidae
Exons: 2
Source: RefSeq, a predicted model, not a curated record
AUAAGUGAGAUGAGGACAGCAGGGCUGAGACCAUCUGUACUGGUUUCAUCAGGGUCCCAGCCUGAAAAGAAAGUGGUCAUUAAAGAGGUGUUUUCUGCUGAGGUCUUCUCACUUAUUCACAAAUGUUACACCUCUCUCCAGCUCUCACUCCUGCAGUCCACACAGGAAUUUUAGUGUUUCUGCUGGCACUACUGAUUGUUUAAAAAAAAAAGGAACAAAAAGAUAAACCAACCAAAGGGGAAGAGAACAGAGGAAGGCUGUUCAUUGGCUGAGCACACUGAAGAGGUAGCCCAUGAGAACCAAAAGACAUGAAAGGAAAUGUAUUCUGUGCUGGGUAUGUUUGAGAAGUGGUAAAUGUUUAACACACGAUAAGCCUUAUUAAUCAAAAAUACAAUAGAAAUAUUCCCACAGGAGAAGUAAGAUAAGAUGUGUUAAAGAACAUUUGUUAAGCACUGCAGGGACAGCAGGCAGCUAAUGAAAGCCAGCGACUAUGUGGGUGUGUGAUUAGAAAGCCGUACACAAUUAACAGUAAACUGCAAUCAUCUCAGAAAAAAGUCUGCAUUGCAGUGUACACAAGAGAACAGUUGCAUAUGGGCAAUAACUGGCACUGUACCACAAACUUAAUCCACUUCUUAAGAUAAGCAGUUAUCCACCACUACUUAUGUAGUAGGGAAUGUAAAAUGCCUUGUGACAGUUGAUGAUACAUAUGUUUAUUCUACACACCUGUAUAAUGUCUUUACUAUCAAGCUUGUUGUGACAGAUACCUACUGACUGUAAGACCUGAAUCACUAAUUGUUUCUACUUAAAUGCAUCACUGCUGAAGUAAAAGUACUUGAACUUCUGUGCACUUUCCUCAAUUUAAGAUUA